GCGUAAAAAAAAAAAAAGCUACAUCUUUUGCUUAAUACAGAAACCAUAAUUUACAAGAAUGUCCUAUGGAACUCGCUCAUUGGUAAGAAAAAGUAUCUAGAUCAGUGAACAUCAUAACAGUUAACAAUUAAAAACUGUUAGAGCAACUAAUGUAUAAUUUUAAACACUAAAAAAUUUUGUAAGCACACCAACAUGAUGAAGUAAGUGCGUAUAUAUGGCAUAAAUGUAUAAGAAAUGCUAUAUUCAGCCUUCAAAUACAGGCAUUUCAUGUUUCAGUAUAAAGUAUACACCACAGAGCCUAUGGCAAUUCUCAGGCCAAUCAAAGACAAAAAGCAUAUAAAAUUGUCUUGCCAGGCCUACAAACAGCAAAAGAUAAAGGUGCGAAAAUUAUAGAUGUAGCCUCUAAUCAGAAGACCACUCACAAACCCCUAAAAUCAGGGAAUCAAAAUUCUAACAAUUAUUGAUUAUUAUCUCAUAACGAUACACCAAUGUUCUAAACGCCACCUCAACACCUCUGCCUUCUAUAUGUUCAAUUUACUUCUAUGGUCUUAAAUCAUAUGGAAUUUGCACAAUUCUGCAAAGUAGGAGAAACUGCAGAAGCAGAGGAAGAAGGGGAAGUAGAAGUGGUAGUAGCAGUACAAAAACUCCGAAUUCGAAUGCCAUGUUCUUUCCUAUUUUUCAUUACAUGUAC
RNAcentral lists this unclassified non-coding RNA (691 nucleotides) under Hevea brasiliensis (rubber tree). The record is from RNAcentral. Lineage: Eukaryota; Viridiplantae; Streptophyta; Magnoliopsida; Malpighiales; Euphorbiaceae.